CCCUUAGAUGUCCGGGGCCGCACGCGCGCUACACUGAAGGAAUCAGCGUGGCUUUCUCCCUGACCCGAAAGGGUUGGGAAACCCGUUGAAUCUCCUUCGUGAUAGGGAUUGGGGCUUGAAAUUGUUCCCCAUGAACGAGGAAUUCCCAGUAAGCGCGAGUCAUAAGCUCGCGUUGAUUACGUCCCUGCCCUUUGUACACACCGCCCGUCGCUACUACCGAUUGAACGGUUUAGUGAGGGCCUCGGAUUGGUCUCGGCCCGCUCUUUACCGGGCGGCGCCGUUGGUCGAGAAGACGCCCGAACUUGAUCGUUUAGAGGAAGUAAAAGUCGUAACA
This 334-nucleotide ribosomal RNA is filed under the name uncultured eukaryote. Its description in RNAcentral is "partial 18S ribosomal RNA". It matches the Rfam family "Eukaryotic small subunit ribosomal RNA", at positions 1470 to 1796 of the family's 1831-position model. The record is from RNAcentral.